Molecule: ribosomal RNA, 248 nt
Filed under: uncultured Actinomycetales bacterium
Lineage: Bacteria; Bacillati; Actinomycetota; Actinomycetes; Actinomycetales
Description: partial 16S ribosomal RNA
Rfam family: Bacterial small subunit ribosomal RNA
Source: RNAcentral
GGGGUGCUCGAGUGGCGAACGGGUGAGUAACACGUGAGUAACCUGCCCUUGACUUUGGGAUAACUUCAGGAAACUGGGGCUAAUACCGGAUAGGAGCUCCUGCUGCAUGGUGGGGGUUGGAAGUUUCGGCGGUUGGGGAUGGACUCGCGGCUUAUCAGCUUGUUGGUGGGGUAGUGGCUUACCAAGGCUUUGACGGGUAGCCGGCCUGAGAGGGUGACCGGCCACAUUGGGACUGAGAUACGGCCCAG